Molecule: RNA transcript, 5780 nt
Organism: Harpegnathos saltator (Jerdon's jumping ant)
Lineage: Eukaryota; Metazoa; Arthropoda; Insecta; Hymenoptera; Formicidae
Exons: 6
Source: RefSeq, a predicted model, not a curated record
AGCGCUGCGUACCUCACCUGUAACAUCCUCCGCUGCUGCAGGCACGUCCGCCAUCGUCAAACGCCACGGAGAGUUGCGGCCGGAAAUGAAUCAAGAUACUUGUGACGAUCCUCCGAUAAGAAAAAAGCGGAGAACGCCAUGCCAUGAAAGAUGAAAAGAGAUCAAUGAUCCCAUUGAAGCAGCGGUGAUGUCACUUCGGCAAUUCUUGGAUCCAUCCUUACGGUAUUGACAAGUAUUCGUCCGCUUAUCGCAGAUGCCUCGAGGUGGAUGAACCUUAUCGCCGGCGAGAUAUCGAUCGCAGUUCGCGGCAACACCGGAACGUAGGAUAUCACGUGCGCACCGAGGACGAAGGCUCAAGACGGCGACGCACGGCGAUGUCCCAUUAGCAUGCAGGACUCGCGAACCAGCGUUAGACAGUGAUCACGAGUGCAGUGCAAUGCAGCGAAGCGAAUGAAGAGCGAUGCUGGAUGAACUGGAUGCUGAGGAGGCAGAACGGGUGCGAGAUGCAUUUGGGCCAGGAACGAUGGACCUGGGUUUGGUUGUCGGUAGAUACCAACACGCAUUGAUGAGUGCACAAAGCCACUCAAAGCCAUUACAUGAGUGCAUGCAGUAAUUGGACGUAAAUCGCAUUGAUUGCCGAUGACACAAGUCAUUGUGUAAUUGAUAAUGCGAGAUUUCCGAGAGAAAUCUACGGAUCGAUGAUGCGCGGUAUUAAUUAAUAAGUAGGGAUCUGUGCCUUAUUUAACCAUCCACUGCGAGGAAUGAUUCAUUGCUGCGAAAGAAUGCUCUCGAGUGUAUCUCGAAUGCACCGCGCGAGCUUGGAGCAUCCGAUUAAAAAAUUCAGUGAGAACGGAGGCGAACUCUAAACUUAGAAUUUAUCUCGGAGAGCCUUCAUUCCUGCUUACCACAUCGGGAAUCAUCUCGCGCUUCGUAACGCGUUCCAAGCCGCAGUUUAUUUUUGUCCGUCUGUCCGAUGCGCUUAAAAGAAAGAACCUCGUUAUGCACGCGAUGAAACAAACCGACUGGAAGACUGCUGAAGGACACGGUUUUUCUCCAAAUAUUUCUACGUAUCUCGACAUAAAGGAGAAUUCAAUCGAUAGAGUAAUGCACAAAUUACCUUUCAUUUUUGGAUUCUGGAUGCAAGAUUAUGCAUCGUUAAGAAACUUUACUUGGUUAUUUCUACGGUGAAAGAAAUCGAACGUCGAUCGGGGAGAGAUUCUUCUGAUGAGACUUUUCGGAGAAACGUCUCCGGUGAAAUUCGCCCGCUAAUUUAGCGAUAAAUCGCUAUCUCAAGUUAAAAAGAUCGUAAGAAGUUGCUCGUCGACUCGUGGACUUAAAUAAUUUGACCCACGUAAGUCGUCCACGACAGUGAUUUAACGCGUUUCGAGUUUUGAGAGGUGGUUCCCCUUCAAAAGCACGGAGAUAUCGCGACUGGAAAGCUGGUACACAGCAAAUUACGAGACACCCGAUCGAAAGUUUGAGGUGUUAGACGCAUCGCGUGGAGAUGCGUUACGCUCUUGCGAAACAUCGCUCGCGGAGAGCGCGGAAUGAUGAUCGAGCGGGAGUUUCGCCACCUCGAAAACUGAUUCCAUCUACUCGCGGUUAUUAAAUUAUGCGGCUUUCACGGCACCGGCUCCGCGCGUGCGUCCUUCUUCGACAAUUAACGCGGCGAAUUAAUUAAGCAGACGAUUAAUCCGACGGAGUUGUUGCCACACGUCCGCGUCCGUCCGAGUGAAUUCGAACCGGGAGUUUAUUGAUCCGGGACGUUGAUCGCGGCGAUCAAUUUCAAGCUUUGGAUGAUCCGUUUCGCAUAAUUGCGCGUCUACGAAAUCGGAGUACCGUUGCCGUAGGCAACGAGCGCAUAACGCGAUUCGCCGGGCAUUGCGUCACAAGGGGAGAAAGCCACCACGAGAAUGCCUUAUUACGAUGCAGAAUCGUGAGGGAUAUGCAAAAUGGAUCGGUGAUAGCGUCUAAUAUCGCUGAACCAUUUGGCCGAUCGAUCACCCAAUUAACAUCCGCACGAAGUCAUCACUCACUCGGUGUUUCUGUAACGUCGACGCGAUGAAUUACGCAAACUUUAACGCGACGAAGUCGCGGAGAAGAACCUCUCUCGAUAAUUUCUUAGAGGCGUGCUCGAUUCUAUUUCGCUCGCAGUAGGAAACGACAGGCAACGGACCGUUUUCCCAAACGGUUUUUACCGAUAUACUCGAUACAUGUGCCUCGCAGUGGGAAACUGCGAGCGAUGAAGAUUGCGAGAAGGAAAAGUCUCGAAAUGCCGGCGGCGGUUCGAAGGUUCAAGGUGAAGGUACUGGAACUGCCAUUGUCAUUUCUCGUGCCAUGUGUGCGACACGUUUCUCCAAUAGCGCGAGGCCGUGCGGAAGAAAUGCACGGACAUUUCCUUUCCCGUGCAGCUUAUUCCUCGAAUAUGCCGAUGAAUGUUCUGUUGUGUUAACUCAUCAUCCAUCGACGAAUACAUGCGCGGCGCGCGUGGAUCGUUUCGUGCCUCCUCGCCACGAGCAAGUUUUCUCAUCUUCGAGGAGUCGCGAGGUACGGCUCGCGUAAGAGUCUUUCCGCUCUAUUUAAUUCGUUGCUGAAAACCGGCAUAAUCUGCAGCAAUUAAAGCGGGCAUAGCUGUGCAAUAAUUGGCGGGAUGUAACUUUUUUUCUACGAAAGUAUACCGUGAUUAUACACGGCCAUAUUUCUGUCCGGACGGUGUUUUUUCCCAAUAAUAUCUGGAGAAGACGCGACGAUCUUGAUAGAAAGCGGUCGAAAUUUCACGAUGCUUCUUGAUCCCACAGAUGUGUGUGCGAUAAGAUACAGAUUAUCUACGAAGAAAACGCAACGCGGACGAUUGUAGGGCGAAGCGAGCUGUUGUCUCACGUCCAUCAUAAAGUUCACAGACGUAAAAAUGAACGAACAAUCCGAAGAGAGAUUACGAUAGAUACAGUAUAUAUGAGUCAGCCGAUAUAUAUUAGAGAAGAACAGGGAGGACCAGUCACAUUUUCGAGAACCGAAUAACAGUAACGUCCGCAGUAAAGUCUCUCUCGCUUGUCACACGAGUGCACUACAACAUGCGGCAAUUUUAUCGUCGGACUUUCGAGUUUCUGUAUGAAUCUACGAGUGGGUGGGUGGUAUCAGCCAGACUCGCGCAGACCAGCGCACAGAUUUACUUUCGUUGCGCACACGAUAAAAACAAUGUGAUAAACCGCGAAGUGAACUUUCUACGCGCCUUCUCGCCUCGUCCGGGGCGAUGAGUAGAAAAUCUCGAGGAUGAGGCGUGUCCGCGUGCGGAGGACGCGGAUUUUAUUUGUACUUUCGGCCAAAAGUACCGAGACUGGUAACCGAAGCUGGUCGAGCAGCAGUCGGAACUACUUUUCCCCGCCUCGCGACGGCGCUUUUCAUUUCUCCACCGAUAGAUCCGCUCGGAAUCGGUGAAUGGGGAUCUUCGCUCGUCUUCAUUAAAGCGCGGAGAGGGAAAGAAAAAAAAAAAAGAGGAUUCCGCCCCUUCCGCGGCGCCGCGGGAUCACGGGAUCUUCCGCUCUGGAAGCGGGAUUCUGCGACCGAUUGCGCUUUUAUCUCCAGCAAUAAAUCACUCGCUCUCACUGCCGUUAUAUUUUGCGCUAAUUAUAUAGAAAGUCUGAAAAUGAGCGGCAAAUGCAUUAUUAAUUCCUCUAACGGUACUAAUUGCCGCGAUAUUGUUCGGCUGUGUCUCUCUUUCUCUCUCCCACCCUCUCCCUCUCCCUCUCUUUCUUUUUCAUUCUCCUCACAUCCGGAAACUAAUUUUGUAUGUAUACAAUGUGAUCGCGCAUCCUCCCGGCGCGUAUAAAGCGUCUGUUCUCUCGCUGAGUGAGGCAAUUAUUUUUUUCGCAACUUUCUCAAAUCAGACGUUUCUUGCGUCUGCUUAUUGUCCUUUCGGAUUUCGAGCAAAUCGCGAGACAGACGUGAACGACGCAAAUAUAUCGCGAUUUCUUUUCUUUUUUAGGGGCUGGAGGGGCUUCAUCGUCCACGUUUAUGCGAAUUCGACGACGGAGCUCAGCACGGUCAGGCCGAUUGCAUCGCAGAAUUUAUCUACGCGCUACGUCGAAGCAUGGGAAUGCGCCUUACGUAGCGCGAAAGAGUAACGUACACGCGACCGUCGACGCGCGUAUCCCGCAGUGGAUCAAGAGCGCAAGACUCCGCAAGAUCCGCUUGAGACUUCACACACGAAGCGGGCCUUACGAACGAUCCGCUCCAACUCCGCAGCGCCGCUCGUGCUGCACCUCGACCGAAUCCCGCGCGAUGUUGAAUUCACGCACCGAUAUCAUCUGCUGCUGCGACCGAUAAUUUAUGAUGAUGAUGAUGCCAUUUAGGAUGGAACAUCCAAAGGCUGGUAUUUUGUAGUUACACACGUAGCGCCGUAACUUGAAGCUUCAAUAACAAGCUUUGGUGUAUAAUCGAUUCUGGCGCAUCGAGUUGUCACGAAGCAUCCUGAACGCGGAUAAUACGCGACACUGAAACCCACGAUGUAAGAAUUUCCUUGCGAGAAGCAUGAGUGUGGUAAAUAAACGAUAAAACAGCCAAGCGUAAGUCGCCAGUAAAGCCGUUAUAAAACUCCGCACUAUGAUUAUCCGCUUAUGUUAAUCCUGAGCGUACAAUGUAACGCGUGUUUGGCUCUUUUUCAUUCUCAUAGACGCGCCCGUAAAUUUGAUUGAACCGUGGGUGACUAAUAUCGAGACACUUUGAUUGGAAAGAAAUUUAGCACGUCAAACAGAAAUCGUAAACUAAAUACCGAAGAACCGUUAAAUUCUGCCUAUCGAUACCGCUCGCCGAUAUAUAAUCAUCUGCAUGAUCAAUUGAUCAUCCACUUUUUCAUUUUCAGUAAUUAAGUUAAAUUAGAACACGCUCUACAUAUUCAUGGUCCAAGGUUGCGAUCGUGUAUCUCAUCAACUCGCAGCCCAAGGAAGUAGACAACCCGAGAUACUUCUUUGCGAUGAAGAGUAUGGUGUGGCUGGCUGACAAAAAAAAGAGCUGGAGACAAGUUUACAAAUUUUUAAGUGGGCCAAGUUGCAUAUUGUUUUGUACGUGCAGCAAAAUAGAGGUUUAUUUUAUUUUAUAAAAUUAUCGCACCUUGCUCGGUGAGAAGUUUAUUGAAGUCAUUUAUUGAACGUCAAUCUACAUGUAUCUUCAAUGUUUCAUGUAGGAAAAAAGAAAAUAUAAGAUUCUGUAUAAAGUAUUUAAGGGGAUUUUAUGCUGAUAUUCAUCUUGUUAAUGACAUAUUGAGUUACACAAUAUAUUACAAACUAUUAUAAGACAUGCAAAUAUUUAAUAAUCAAUUACAAAAAAUUGCGCUUUAGAUAUAGAUAUAAAGAUAUAUAUGAUUUGUUUUACUCUUUAAUAUAGUUUGUAGAAAGUAGAAUCCUAUAUCGCUUGUACUUUAAAUCAUAUGAAAGUAACAUUUAGUUUCUAUUUAGUUUCUAUGAAAUAUGUUACUUUAAAUAUCUUAAAUUAAAUAUCGUUAUUCAAUAUUUGACUGUCCAGACAACAUACAUGUUUAAAAAGUGUUUUAGGGAUAAAAAGGGUUUUAAGAGAUAUUUUACGUGUCCUGGACAUUUUUUAAAUGUCUUCAAAAUGUAUUUCAAACGAUUGUGUUGUUUAGAAUACUUUCUUCUUAUACUUUCUUGUUAUACUUUGAACUUUGGAUUUUGAUUGUUCUCUUGUUUUUUUCUUUUUGUCACUUCUGUGCCACUAUUUUUGUUUCACAUACACGCACAUACAUACACAUAAUAUCUACACUGUUCUUU